UCAAUCCUUAAUCCUUUUUAGAUUCAUCUUCAAAUUCGUUCAAUCCCGAAAACAUAUCGUAGUAUGACAAGAUACUGAAAUAUGAUAAGACGUUCACAUAAAAUUUAUUGCAUAUUACUAAUUUUCUUUUAUAAAAUUUGCUUGUUUCAGGUAUCACUGCUUAGGAGAUAUAUAAUUUGGAUAUGUAAUAGUAGCAGUAGAUCAAGGGAAACUGUUUACAAGUAAUGAGGUAACUAAAUUAGAAGAGUCAAGAAAUGGUAGACGUUCCGAGUCUAGCUAGCACUAAUUAAGGAUCAUGAAGCAACAUCACGUACCAGAGAAUAUUUAGUUGUUUUGUGAACUUAUUUUGAUGUAAUGUUUUGUAUGUUUAGCCAUUUUACUAAUGUUUAUGCGUUAGUUUUUAAAUGUUUGAACGACAUAACUUUUUUAUUCUUUUGGAGUUUCAAGUACUUGAUGU
Molecule: long non-coding RNA, 457 nt
Organism: Trifolium pratense (red clover)
Lineage: Eukaryota; Viridiplantae; Streptophyta; Magnoliopsida; Fabales; Fabaceae
Exons: 2
Source: RefSeq, a predicted model, not a curated record